RNAcentral lists this ribosomal RNA (433 nucleotides) under uncultured Lachnospiraceae bacterium. RNAcentral's name for it is "partial 16S ribosomal RNA". It matches the Rfam family "Bacterial small subunit ribosomal RNA", at positions 341 to 792 of the family's 1533-position model. Lineage: Bacteria; Bacillati; Bacillota; Clostridia; Lachnospirales; Lachnospiraceae. The record is from RNAcentral.
AUGGGAGGCAGCAGUGGGGAAUAUUGCACAAUGGGGGAAACCCUGAUGCAGCAACGCCGCGUGAGUGAAGAAGUAUUUCGGUAUGUAAAGCUCUAUCAGCAGGGAAGAUAAUGACGGUACCUGACUAAGAAGCCCCGGCUAACUACGUGCCAGCAGCCGCGGUAAUACGUAGGGGGCAAGCGUUAUCCGGAUUUAUUGGGUUUAAAGGGUGCGCAGGCGGAGAUGCAAGCCAGCCGUAAAAUCGUGGGGCUCAACCCCAUUGAGCGGUUGGAACUUCAUCCCUUGAUUGCGGCAGAGGGAGGUGGAACUCGUGGUGUAGCGGUGAAAUGCAUAGAUAUCUCGAAGAACUCCGAUUGCGAAGGCAGCCUCCUGGACCGUAAAUGACGCUCAUGCACGAAGGCGCGGGUAUCAAACAGGAUUAGAUACCCUGGUA